RNAcentral lists this ribosomal RNA (909 nucleotides) under Loma salmonae. Its description in RNAcentral is "SSU rRNA". It matches the Rfam family "Microsporidia small subunit ribosomal RNA", at positions 406 to 1305 of the family's 1311-position model. Lineage: Eukaryota; Fungi; Microsporidia; Glugeidae. The record is from RNAcentral.
UAAUACCAGCUCCUGGAGUGUCUAUGAUCGAUUGCUGCAGUUAAAGAGUUCGUAGCCGAGGCAUUAUUUAACUGCGUUAAAGGGGAUAUCUCAAAUAUCCCUGUGCGCAGUGAUUUUGCAGAAUAAGGAGUGCUUAGGGACCAGAGUAUCAUACGGCGACUGGUGAAAUGGGAUGACCCGUGUGGGAGUAACAGAGGCGAAAGCGCUGGCCAGGGGCGAGUCCGAUGGUAAAGGACGUAGGCUAGAGGAUCGAAGACGAUUAGAGACCGUUGUAGUUCUAGCAGUAAACGAUGCCGAUGUCGUGGUGCCGAAUAAUGGCGACGCGAAAGAGAAAUCGAGUAGGGCCCUGGGGAGAGUACACGCGCAAGCGAGAAAUUUAAAGGAAAUUGACGGAAGAACACCACAAGGAGUGGAGUGUGCGGCUUAAUUUGACUCAACGCGGGACAACUUACCGGGYCCGACGACCGUAAGAGUGUGACACACGAUAGGUCGAAGAGUGGUGCAUGGCCGUUAACGACGAGUGGAGUGAUCUUUGGGUUAAGUCCGUAAAUUAGUGAGACCUCRGCCGUAAGGGACAGGUGCGCAAAGCACAGGAAGGAUGGGUCAAGGACAGGUCAGUGAUGCCCUUAGAUGGUCCGGGCUGCACGCGCACUACAGUGGUCGCCGAAAUUACCUGAUAAUUAUAAAGGCGAUCGAGAGGGAAUGAGCUUUGUAAGAGGCUCAGGAACGAGGAAUUGCUAGUAAUCGCGGACUCAUUAAGACGCGAUGAAUACGUCCCUGUUCUUUGUACACACCGCCCGUCGUUAUCGAAGAUGAAGAUAGGCGCGAACGAUCUACCAGAAAGUGAGCGCAGGUUUUUAGAUCUGAUACAAGUCGUAACAAGGUAGCUGUAGGAGAACCUGUAGCUGG